This 234-nucleotide ribosomal RNA is filed under the name uncultured bacterium. Its description in RNAcentral is "partial 16S ribosomal RNA". It matches the Rfam family "Bacterial small subunit ribosomal RNA", at positions 104 to 334 of the family's 1533-position model. The record is from RNAcentral.
CGGGGUGGAGUAACGCGUGGGUAACCUGCCUCAUACAGGGGAGUAACAGUUAGAAAUAGGCUGCUAAUACCGCAUAAGACCACAGUACUGCAUGGUACAGUGGUAAAAACUCCGGUGGUAUGAGAUGGACCCGCGUCUGAUUAGGUAGUUGGUGAGGUAACGGCCCACCAAGCCGACGAUCAGUAGCCGACCUGAGAGGGUGACCGGCCACAUUGGGACUGAGACACGGCCCAG